GACGAACGCUGGCGGCGUGCCUAAUACAUGCAAGUCGAGCGAACAGAUGAGGAGCUUGCUCCUCUGACGUUAGCGGCGGACGGGUGAGUAACACGAGGAUAACCUACCUAUAAGACUGGGAUAACUUCGGGAAACCGGAGCUAAUACCGGAUAAUAUAUUGAACCGCAUGGUUCAAUAGUGAAAGACGGUUUUGCUGUCACUUAUAGAUGGAUCCGCGCCGCAUUAGCUAGUUGGUAAGGUAACGGCUUACCAAGGCAACGAUGCGUAGCCGACCUGAGAGGGUGAUCGGCCACACUGGAACUGAGACACGGUCCAGACUCCUACGGGAGGCAGCAGUAGGGAAUCUUCCGCAAUGGGCGAAAGCCUGACGGAGCAACGCCGCGUGAGUGAUGAAGGUCUUCGGAUCGUAAAACUCUGUUAUUAGGGAAGAACAAAUGUGUAAGUAACUAUGCACGUCUUGACGGUACCUAAUCAGAAAGCCACGGCUAACUACGUG
This 497-nucleotide ribosomal RNA is filed under the name uncultured bacterium. Its description in RNAcentral is "partial 16S ribosomal RNA". It matches the Rfam family "Bacterial small subunit ribosomal RNA", at positions 28 to 507 of the family's 1533-position model. The record is from RNAcentral.